RNAcentral lists this ribosomal RNA (428 nucleotides) under uncultured bacterium. RNAcentral describes it as "bacterial SSU rRNA". It matches the Rfam family "Bacterial small subunit ribosomal RNA", at positions 355 to 775 of the family's 1533-position model. The record is from RNAcentral.
UGGGGAAUAUUGGACAAUGGGGGCAACCCUGAUCCAGCAAUGCCGCGUGUGUGAAGAAGGCCUGAGGGUUGUAAAGCACUUUCAGUGGGGAGGAGGAUUGACAGGUUAAGAGCUAGUUGAUUGGACGUUACCCACAGAAGAAGCACCGGCUAACUCCGUGCCAGCAGCCGCGGUAAUACGGAGGGUGCGAGCGUUAAUCGGAAUUACUGGGCGUAAAGGGUGCGUAGGUGGUUUGGUAAGUUAUCUGUGAAAUCCCCGGGCUCAACCUGGGCAGGUCAGAUAAGACUGCUGAACUCGAGUAUAGGAGAGGGUAGUGGAAUUUCCGGUGUAGCGGUGAAAUGCGUAGAGAUCGGAAGGAACACCAGUGGCGAAGGCGGCUACCUGGCCAAAUACUGACACUGAGGCACGAAAGCGUGGGGAGCAAACAG